GAUGAACGCUAGCUACAGGCUUAACACAUGCAAGUCGCGGGGCAGCAUGGGGGUUGCUUGCACUCCCCGAUGGCGACCGGCGCACGGGUGAGUAACGCGUAUCCAACCUGCCCUUCACCACGGGAUAACCCGGCGAAAGUCGGACUAAUACCGUAUGUUGUUCAUUGACGGCAUCCGAUUUGGACGAAAGGUUUGGCGGUGAAGGAUGGGGAUGCGUACGAUUAGCUGGACGGCGGGGUGACGGCCCACCGUGGCGACGAUCGGUAGGGGUUCUGAGAGGAAGGUCCCCCACACUGGAACUGAGACACGGUCCAGACUCCUACGGGAGGCAGCAGUGAGGAAUAUUGGUCAAUGGGCGUAAGCCUGAACCAGCCAAGUAGCGUGCAGGAUGACGGCCCUAUGGGUUGUAAACUGCUUUUAUGCGGGGAUAAAGUGGCCCACGUGUGGGUUUUUGCAGGUACCGCAUGAAUAAGGACCGGCUAAUUCCGUG
RNAcentral lists this ribosomal RNA (490 nucleotides) under uncultured bacterium. RNAcentral describes it as "partial 16S ribosomal RNA". It matches the Rfam family "Bacterial small subunit ribosomal RNA", at positions 28 to 507 of the family's 1533-position model. The record is from RNAcentral.